GCUGGAAAGCCUGUUCACAUAUCAAAUAAAAGUUUUAUCGACUAUAUUUUCACUCGUAGUUUGGAGGUUGCUCUACUUUUUGACUUGCCAAUGCAGAUACAUACAGGGACUGUGCUUGAGGCCAAGAGAUUUUCUAAAAGCCGCAUUGUUCUUUUACAUGCAUCCUACCCGUUUUCAAAGGAAGCAUCAUAUCUAGCCUCUGUUUAUCCCCAGGUCUACCUCGACUUUGGCUUGGGUA
Rosa chinensis is the source of this 238-nucleotide long non-coding RNA. RefSeq lists it as uncharacterized. The record is from RefSeq and is a predicted model, not a curated record. Lineage: Eukaryota; Viridiplantae; Streptophyta; Magnoliopsida; Rosales; Rosaceae. The transcript is spliced from 4 exons.